RNAcentral lists this ribosomal RNA (253 nucleotides) under uncultured bacterium. RNAcentral describes it as "partial 16S ribosomal RNA". It matches the Rfam family "Bacterial small subunit ribosomal RNA", at positions 524 to 776 of the family's 1533-position model. The record is from RNAcentral.
GACGGAGGAUGCAAGCGUUAUCCGGAAUGAUUGGGCGUAAAGCGUCCGCAGGUGGCUGUGUAAGUCUGCUGUCAAAGAGCGAAGCUCAACUUCGUAAAGGCAGUGGAAACUACACGGCUAGAGUGCGUUCGGGGCAGAGGGAAUUCCUGGUGUAGCGGUGAAAUGCGUAGAGAUCAGGAAGAACACCGGUGGCGAAGGCGCUCUGCUAGGCCGCAACUGACACUGAGGGACGAAAGCUAGGGGAGCGAAUGGG